GUCUGUGAGUGACUGUCUGUGAUUGUGUGUGUGUCUGUGUGUGAGUGUAUGUGUGCCGGAGUGUCUGUGUGCCUGUGAGUGACUGAGUGUGUGCAUGAGUAUGUGUGUCUGUGAGUGCUUGUAUGAGUACUGCAUGUGAGUGUAUGAGUGUGGCAGUGUAUGUGUGUCUGUCAGUGUGUGUUUGUGAGUGUCUGUCAAAUCAGUGAGAAUAUCUUUGUCAUUGAGUCUGUGUGUGAGUAUCAGUGUGCCUGUCAAUGAAUGAGUGUGUGUCAGAUCAGUGAGUCUGUGUGUUUGUCAUUGAGUGUGUGUGACUGUCAGUGUGUAUACACCACUGAGUGUAGCGUGGUGGAACGCAGUACAGGAGCUUCUGUUUCCUGAGAGAGCACUCCCUGUCAGUCCGGCCAGGUACAGAAAAUUGAAGCUCCUGUAGGGGAUAUCCUCCACUCGGCAACGCUACAAGAGAGGUAGGAGGCACACCAGGAAGGGGAGUGCGACCACUAAGGGGGUGGAGGGUGCACCAAGGGACAGGGAGGGGAGGGGAGAGAAACACCAAGGGACAGGAAAAAGAGGGGAGAGCCUAGAAGAACACUAAGGGACAGGGAAGGGAGGGGACCACUAAUGGACGGGGAGAAGAUGUUAUUUGGGGGGGGCGGAAAGAUACAUCUUCGCCUAUGUACCCAAAAAUCCUUGCACCGGCCCUG
Molecule: non-coding RNA, 701 nt
Organism: Pelobates cultripes (western spadefoot toad)
Lineage: Eukaryota; Metazoa; Chordata; Amphibia; Anura; Pelobatidae
Source: the annotation of a GenBank genome assembly